GUCGAACGAUGAUGCCCAGCUUGCUGGGUGGAUUAGUGGCGAACGGGUGAGUAACACGUGAGUAACCUGCCCCUGACUCUGGGAUAAGCGUUGGAAACGACGUCUAAUACUGGAUAUGAUCACUGGCCGCAUGGUCUGGUGGUGGAAAGAUUUUUUGGUUGGGGAUGGACUCGCGGCCUAUCAGCUUGUUGGUGAGGUAAUGGCUCACCAAGGCGACGACGGGUAGCCGGCCUGAGAGGGUGACCGGCCACACUGGGACUGAGACACGGCCCAGACUCCUACGGGAGGCAGCAGUGGGGAAUAUUGCACAAUGGGCGAAAGCCUGAUGCAGCAACGCCGCGUGAGGGAUGACGGCCUUCGGGUUGUAAACCUCUUUUAGUAGGGAAGAAGCGAAAGUGACGGUACCUGCAGAAAAAGCACCGGCUAACUACGUGCCAGCAGCCGCGGUAAUACGUAGGGUGCAAGCGUUGUCCGGAAUUAUUGGGCGUAAAGAGCUCGUAGGCGGUUUGUCGCGUCUGCUGUGAAAUCCCGAGGCUCAACCUCGGGCUUGCAGUGGGUACGGGCAGACUAGAGUGCGGUAGGGGAGAUUGGAAUUCCUGGUGUAGCGGUGGAAUGCGCAGAUAUCAGGAGGAACACCGAUGGCGAAGGCAGAUCUCUGGGCCGUAACUGACGCUGAGGAGCGAAAGCAUGGGGAGCGAACAGGAUUAGAUACCCUGGUAGUCCAUGCCGUAAACGUUGGGCGCUAGAUGUAGGGACCUUUCCACGGUUU
This 769-nucleotide ribosomal RNA is filed under the name Curtobacterium flaccumfaciens. RNAcentral describes it as "bacterial SSU rRNA". It matches the Rfam family "Bacterial small subunit ribosomal RNA", at positions 61 to 840 of the family's 1533-position model. Lineage: Bacteria; Bacillati; Actinomycetota; Actinomycetes; Micrococcales; Microbacteriaceae. The record is from RNAcentral.